RNAcentral lists this long non-coding RNA (238 nucleotides) under Setaria italica (foxtail millet). RNAcentral describes it as "long non-coding RNA (SITA_LNC005865)". The record is from RNAcentral. Lineage: Eukaryota; Viridiplantae; Streptophyta; Magnoliopsida; Poales; Poaceae.
CCAAGAGUGAUGCAAUCGUCGACCCAGCUUCUGAUGCUGCCAGGGGAUCAAUGUCCUGAAUUGCCGAUGAGACAUUUGCUUGGAUUGGUGCGGCCGCCGAUGUUGCUGCUGAUUGGUAGGCUGCCCGAGUUGUCGCGGAUUCAGUGCGAGCUCGUACCCUACGACUUGUCUUCUUUGUGGUAGACAUUUUGAGCUUAUGCUUCAAACGGCGGGUGGCUACAUCUUCCAAUGAUGGGAC